Molecule: ribosomal RNA, 467 nt
Filed under: uncultured bacterium
Lineage: Bacteria
Description: partial 16S ribosomal RNA
Rfam family: Bacterial small subunit ribosomal RNA
Source: RNAcentral
GACGAACGCUGGCGGCGUGCUUAACACAUGCAAGUCGAACGGAAAGGCCCUGCUUUUGUGGGGUGCUCGAGUGGCGAACGGGUGAGUAACACGUGAGUAACCUGCCCUUGACUUUGGGAUAACUUCAGGAAACUGGGGCUAAUACCGGAUAGGAGCUCCUGCUGCAUGGUGGGGGUUGGAAAGUUUCGGCGGUUGGGGAUGGACUCGCGGCUUAUCAGCUUGUUGGUGGGGUAGUGGCUUACCAAGGCUUUGACGGGUAGCCGGCCUGAGAGGGUGACCGGCCACAUUGGGACUGAGAUAGGGCCCAGACUCCUACGGGAGGCAGCAGUGGGGAAUAUUGCACAAUGGGCGGAAGCCUGAUGCAGCAACGCCGCGUGCGGGAUGACGGCCUUCGGGUUGUAAACCGCUUUCGCCUGUGACGAAGCGUGAGUGACGGUAAUGGGUAAAGAAGCACCGGCUAACUACGU